Molecule: ribosomal RNA, 525 nt
Filed under: uncultured bacterium
Lineage: Bacteria
Description: bacterial SSU rRNA
Rfam family: Bacterial small subunit ribosomal RNA
Source: RNAcentral
AGCUAUGAUGGUUAGCUGAUCUGAGAGGUUGAUCAGCCACACUGGAACUGCGACACGGUCCAGACUCCUACGGGAGGCAGCAGUAGGGAAUAUUGCGCAAUGGAGGAAACUCUGACGCAGCGACGCCGCGUGGGUGAUGAAGGCCUUCGGGUCGUAAAGCCCUGUCGGAGGGGAAGAAAAACAUGCUUAUUAAUAUGAAGUGUGCUUGACGGUACCCUUAAAGGAAGCACCGGCUAACUACGUGCCAGCAGCCGCGGUAAUACGUAGGGUGCAAGCGUUGUUCGGAAUCAUUGGGCGUAAAGCGCGCGUAGGCUGCUAAUUAAGUCGGGUGUGAAAUCCCUGGGCUCAACCGAGGAAGUGCAUUCGAAACUGAUUAGCUAGAAGACGGUAGAGGAAGGUGGAAUUCCUAGUGUAGAGGUGAAAUUCGUAGAUAUUAGGAGGAAUACCGGUGGCGAAGGCGGCCUUCUGGGCCGUGCUUGACGCUGAGGCGCGAGAGCGUGGGUAGCAAACAGGAUUAGAUACCCU